Molecule: long non-coding RNA, 2056 nt
Filed under: Homo sapiens (human)
Lineage: Eukaryota; Metazoa; Chordata; Mammalia; Primates; Hominidae
Description: HSALNT0290939
Source: RNAcentral
GGAGGUGGGGCUACCCUGGGGUCUUGGGCAAAGUCCUCGCCUGGCCGGCUUCGCUACCCUUGUGCUUGCGUUGCCCACAAGCUUGUAGUCAGAAGAACUCGCCUGGGAGGGAUCGCUCCUGGGAGAUCCGAACGCGGGAGGGCCUGGAGCGCGGCGGCAGCUGGAUAGCAUUCGGGCCCAUCCGAAUAAGCGUCCAAUGCCUCCAGCAGCAGAAGCUCGGCAGGUUGGUACAAAGAUAUUGCUGUGAUGAAGUUCUGAUGGUUGCACCAGGGUCUGAGGAUACACGCUGCUGGGUCUUGGCAGGUGCUGGUUUUGGAUUUUGUUUCUGCUCCACUCUAUACGAGCUGAGAGAAGUCAGUUAACCUUUUUUUUUUUCUUUCUUUUUUUUUUUUUUUUUUUUGAGACAGAGUCUCACUCUGAUGCCCAGGCUGGAGUGCAGUGGCGUGAUCUCAGCUCACUGCAACCUCUGCCCCCCGGGUUCAAGCCAUUCUCCUGCCUCAGCCUCCCGAGUAUCUGGGAUUACAGGCACGCACCACCAUGCCCAGCUAAUUUUUGUACUUUAGUAGAGGGAGGGUUUCACCAUGUUGGCCUGGCUGGUCUCGAACUCCUGACCCCAGACGAUCUGCCUGCCUCAGCCUCCCAAAAUGCUGGGAUUAUAGGUGUGAGCCAUCAUGCCCGGCAGUUAACUUAUUUGAGUCUCAGCUUCUUGGGUCUCAACAGUACAUGGCACUUGUCAUUGUGGGGCUGGUGGUUUAUCCUUCAUCAGAACCUGAGUCUAUCCAGAAAUGAUUGAAAAUUCAAGAUACAGGGGCAAGCAGGUAGGAGGUGAAAAUUCAAGAUACAGGCCAGGCAGUGGCUCACACUUGUAAUCCCAGCAUUUUGCGAGACCAAAGUGGGAGGAGUGGUUGGGGCCAGGAGUUUGACACCAGCCUGGACAACACAGCAAGAUGCUGUCUCUAUAAAAAAUUUAAAAAUUAGCUGGGCAUCAUGGCACAUGCUUGUAAUCCUAGCUACUUGAGAGGCUGAGGCAGAAGGAUCGCUUGAGACCAGGAGUUUGAGGGUGCAGUGAACUAUGAUGGCGCCACCACACUCCAGCCUGGGAGACAGAGUGAGACCCUGUCUCUAAAAGAAAAAAGAAAAUUCAAGAUACAGAGCCAGACAGGUAACAAGGACAGGUGAAGGUGGCUGAGUAGGGUCCACACUGAACUAGACAGUGCCUUUCAUCCCCAUCCUCCCCACCCCCAAUUUAACUUACACACAGUCAGUCCCAAGAAAGCUUGUUGAAUGAAUGAAUGGAUUUCUAAAUAAUUCCCUAAAGGGGAAUAUCUAAGCCUAAAAACUUUCCCCUGCUCUCAAUGCCACUUAAUUCUGUUUUAUAAUCAUUUCUUUCUUUCCUGCAGGAGCCUGGAUGGCCAUCUUUCUUCUGAUAGCAAUAAGCUGGAUGCUGGGAUAGAAGCCUGAUACCUCCUCCAACCCUAGUCCUUGGCCUCUAGUUUACUCGCCUGAGGCAAGGGUAGAGUGGAGGAAGAUUUAGGGAAAGCAAGUAGUCCGUUUUAUUGUUACGGACCAGAGAGGUUGGGGGUGCAGAUGAAACCAACAUCUGGUUGGCCGGGCACGGUGGCUCACACCUGUAAUCCCAGCACUUUGGGAGGCCGAGGCGGGCGGAUCAUGAAGUCAGGAGAUCGAGACCAUCCUAGCUAACACGGUGAAACCCCGUCUCUACUAAAAACACAAAAAAUUUGCCGGGCGUGGUGGCGGGAGCCUGUAGUCUCAGUUACUCAGGAGGCUGAGACAGGAGAAUGGCAUGAACCCGGGAGGCAGAGGUUGCAGUGAGCCGAGAUCGCGCCACUGCACUCCAGCCUGGGUGACAGAGCGAGACUCCAUCUCAAAAAAAAUAAAUAAAUAAAAAUAAAAAAAAUAAAAAAUAAAAAAUUCAUUUGCAGGAACAUUUUGUUGUCUUUAAUGCCUUAACAGCUCCUGAAAAAAAUCAUGUCAAAUGAUCAAUCCAUGUUAUUUUUUCAUGCACAUCAAAGUCACACAUUUAUUAAAUCAGCAA